GUGUUGUAUGAAAGGAGAGAAAGUUAGCACUCUCCUUGACAAGGAUGGAAGAGGCCCUUGGGACUAAUAACAUGCAUAUGGUUAAGGUUUAAAAAAAAAAAAAAAAGACAUGUUGGCUUU
This is a non-coding RNA of Myodes glareolus (Bank vole), 120 nucleotides long. The record is from RefSeq and is a predicted model, not a curated record. NCBI's taxonomy places the organism in Eukaryota, Metazoa, Chordata, Mammalia, Rodentia, Cricetidae.